RNAcentral lists this unclassified non-coding RNA (358 nucleotides) under soil metagenome. RNAcentral describes it as "partial contains 5.8S ribosomal RNA, internal transcribed spacer 2, and large subunit ribosomal RNA". The stretch from base 1 to 120 matches the Rfam family "5.8S ribosomal RNA", at positions 35 to 154 of the family's 154-position model. The record is from RNAcentral.
GAUGAAGAACGCAGCGAAAUGCGAUAAGUAAUGUGAAUUGCAGAAUUCAGUGAAUCAUCGAAUCUUUGAACGCACAUUGCGCCCGUCAGUAUUCUGGCGGGCAUGCCUGUUCGAGCGUCAUUACGCCCCUCAAGUCCCCUUUGGACUUGGUGUUGGGGAUCGGCGAGGCUGGUUUUCCAGCACAGCCGUCCCUUAAAUUAAUUGGCGGUCUCGCCGUGGCCCUCCUCUGCGCAGUAGUAAAACACUCGCAACAGGAGCCCGGCGCGGUCCACUGCCGUAAAACCCCCCAACUUUUUAUAGUUGACCUCGAAUCAGGUAGGACUACCCGCUGAACUUAAGCAUAUCAAUAAGCGGAGGA